Molecule: ribosomal RNA, 484 nt
Filed under: uncultured bacterium
Lineage: Bacteria
Description: partial 16S ribosomal RNA
Rfam family: Bacterial small subunit ribosomal RNA
Source: RNAcentral
AUUGAACGCUGGCGGCAUGCUUUACACAUGCAAGUCGAACGGCAGCGCGGGCUUCGGCCUGGCGGCGAGUGGCGAACGGGUGAGUAAUACAUCGGAACGUGCCCAGUAGUGGGGGAUAGCUCGGCGAAAGCCGGAUUAAUACCGCAUACGACCUGAGGGUGAAAGCGGGGGAUCUUCGGACCUCGUGCUAUUGGAGCGGCCGAUGGCAGAUUAGCUAGUUGGUGGGGUAAAGGCCUACCAAGGCGACGAUCUGUAGCUGGUCUGAGAGGACGACCAGCCACACUGGGACUGAGACACGGCCCAGACGCCUACGGGAGGCAGCAGUGGGGAAUUUUGGACAAAGGGCGAAAGCCUGAUCCAGCAAGGCCGCGUGUGUGAUGAAGGCCUUCGGGUUGUAAAGCACUUUUGGCGGGAACGAAAAGGACUGUGCCAAUACCACGGUUCGAUGACGGUACCCGCAGAAUAAGCACCGGCUAACUACGUG